CGGACAAAGGGAAGCGAGGCGGCGACGCGGAGCGAAUCCCAAAAAUCGCGCCCCAGUUCGGAUUGUAGUCUGCAACCCGACUACAUGAAGCCGGAAUCGCUAGUAAUCGCGGAUCAGAAUGCCGCGGUGAAUACGUUCCCGGGUCUUGUACACACCGCCCGUCACACCAUGGGAGUCGGGAAUGCCCGAAGUCAGUGACCCAACCUUAGGGAGGGAGCUGCCGAAGGCAGGCCUGGUGACUGGGGUGAAGUCGUAACAAGGUAUC
RNAcentral lists this ribosomal RNA (265 nucleotides) under uncultured bacterium. RNAcentral describes it as "partial 16S ribosomal RNA". It matches the Rfam family "Bacterial small subunit ribosomal RNA", at positions 1236 to 1500 of the family's 1533-position model. The record is from RNAcentral.